UCAGGUUACAUACACUUCAGGUUACAGACUCUGCUAACAAAGAAAUAUUACCUCGGGUUAAGAACUUUGCUUCAGGAUAAGAACAGAAAUUGUGCUCUGGCGGCGCAGCGGCAGUGGGAGGCCACAUUAGCUAAAGUGGUGCUUCAGGUUAAGAACAGUUUCAGGUUAAGUACAGACCUCCAGAACGGAUUAAGUACUUAACCCGAGGUACCACUGUAUAAGAUAAGAAGUUAUGUUAUAUUAUUGUUGGAAAUUAUAUGUU
Molecule: non-coding RNA, 262 nt
Organism: Podarcis lilfordi (Lilford's wall lizard)
Lineage: Eukaryota; Metazoa; Chordata; Lepidosauria; Squamata; Lacertidae
Source: the annotation of a GenBank genome assembly